GAUCCCAACUCCAUUCUGUGUUGUACUACGUUAAACGUUUAGGUUUAUGUGUGCUGCCAGCUUUUAAAGCCGAGAUGUUGGUUCAGUUGUGGGGGAAUUACUAAUAAUUCAUCUUAAUUAAGCUUUUAGGUGAUAAUCAAUAAUCAGUCUUUCUUGUUACAUACGUUGGCCAUUCACUAACCCCUGUCCCCUAGUUACUGUUGCUAUGCUUGUCAAGCUCUCAGCUUCUCAAACAGACACAAAUC
Long non-coding RNA from Etheostoma cragini (Arkansas darter), 245 nucleotides. RefSeq lists it as uncharacterized. NCBI's taxonomy places the organism in Eukaryota, Metazoa, Chordata, Actinopteri, Perciformes, Percidae. The transcript is spliced from 3 exons. The record is from RefSeq and is a predicted model, not a curated record.